CCUACGGGAGGCAGCAGUAGGGAAUAUUGGUCAAUGGGGGAAACCCUGAAGCAGCAACGCCGCGUGGAGGAUGAAGGUUUUCGGAUUGUUAACUCCUUUUGUUAGAGAAGAUAAUGACGGUAUCUGACGAAUAAGCACCGGCUAACUCCGUGCCACCACCCGCGGUAAUACGGCGGGUGCAGGCGUUACUCGGAAUAACGGGGCGUAAAGAGGGCGUAGGCGGGGUAGCAAGUCAGAUGUGAAAUCCUAUGGCUUAACCAUAGGACUGAAUUUGAAACUGCUAUUCUAGAGUAGGGGAGAGGGAGGUGGAAUUCUUGGUGUAGGGGUAAAAUCCGUAGAGAUCGAGAGGAAUACUCAUUGCGAAGGCGACCUGCUAGAACAUAACUGACGCUGAUGCGCGAAAGCGUGGGGAGCAAACAGGAUUAGAUACCCGUGUAGUC
RNAcentral lists this ribosomal RNA (440 nucleotides) under uncultured bacterium. RNAcentral describes it as "partial 16S ribosomal RNA". It matches the Rfam family "Bacterial small subunit ribosomal RNA", at positions 338 to 795 of the family's 1533-position model. The record is from RNAcentral.